Long non-coding RNA from Suricata suricatta (meerkat), 4149 nucleotides. The record is from Ensembl. NCBI's taxonomy places the organism in Eukaryota, Metazoa, Chordata, Mammalia, Carnivora, Herpestidae.
AAGCGGAGUAGCCCGGAGGUCCGGGCCCCUCACUUCACAGGCCCGUGGACACCAGUGACAACUCAGUCCUCCCGGCCCCGGCAGGAGCGCCCGGCCCAAGGGCUGGUGCCCGCCGCCGGGGCCCCCGGAAACCCCGCUCACCCUGGUCCCGUCCCCCCGCCUUCAGAAGCCUGGGUCUCAGGGGGAGUCUGCAUCACCAGAGGGUUUGGGAUCCAAGGGCAAACAUGCACCCCAACAGUCUGUUGGCGCCCCCCGCGAGCCAGCAGCCGCGAGUCGUGCCGAGGCGGGGGAAAGGGGACCCGAGGGGCAGCACGACACACCCCCGCCAGUGACAGGGCUUCGCCAGCCAAGUGUGCAGGGCCCUGGGGCGCCGCCUUCACCUCGGUCCGCACGGAGCUGGUCCUCGCCCUCCUCCCCGCGGCGCCUGGGAGCCGAGGGAACCGCGGGUCCGGGGCUNNNNNNNNNNNNNNNNNNNNNNNNNNNNNNNNNNNNNNNNNNNNNNNNNNNNNNNNNNNNNNNNNNNNNNNNNNNNNNNNNNNNNNNNNNNNNNNNNNNNUCUCCCUCACCCCUGUGACUCUUCCCUCGUCCCGCGCCCCCUCCCUCGCCCCUGCGGCUCCUCCCUCACUUCAUCCUCCCCGCCUUCACCCCUGCCCCCCUCAUCCCUGUGCCCCUCCCUCACUUCCUCCUCCCUUCCUUCACCCCUCCCUCAUCCCUAUGGCCUCCCUUACUCUUUGCCCCCUUCCUUGUCCCACACCCCCUCCCUCACCUCAUCCUCUCCCCCACAGCCUUCUCCCUCACCCUUGUGCCUUCCCUUGCCCUCUCACCCCUGCCCCCUCACUCAUCCCUCUCCAGCUGCCUGACUGUGCUCCUCACACACAGCAGGUGCACUUGGCAUGUGCUCAGUUGCACCGGCUGCGCUCCCCCUGCCCGGAUGCUCACCCCCAGCUGUCUGCUUGGCUCCCUGCCACCUCCUGGGAGCUCCGACUGCUCUGGGCGCACCCAGAAGGGCGGGCGGGCUCCGGACCGCAGCAGGAAAGCAAGUAUUGCAACCAAGUGCCGCACAAGAGCGGGUGAGGCAAUGUCAUGAGGACAGAGCCCCGUGUCGCACGGCCGUAGAGGCGUCCCGGUGACCUCGUGGUCAGUCAGCGCCAGGUGGCACGAGGCGGCAGGCCCCUCGGCGCCGUUCAUCCGAAGCCGUUCAUCUCAAAGACCUGCUGCCUGGACCCCACUCCGCAGGGGCUCUGACUGAUGGGAGGAGGGGAGUGGACACGCAACGCUGGCAUUUAAACAUUUUUUAAAUGUUUAUUUAUUUUUUGAGAGACAGAGUGUGAGCAGGGGAGGGGCAGAGAGGGACACACAGACUCGGAAGCAGGCUCCAGGCUCCGAGCUGUCAGCACAGAGCCCGACGUGGGGCUCGAAUUCACAGACCGUGAGAUCAUGACCUGAGCCGAAGUCGGACACUCAGCCGACUGAGCCCCCCAGGCGCCCCCACACUGGUAUCUUAAAAGUGCCCUGCUGAUUCUGUGGGGCAGCCAGGGCCCAGGCACUCGGCGAAGGCUUGGACUCGGAGCAGGUGGAGACAUGAGUCCGGCCCUCAGGUUAGGACGUUCCAAGAAACACCGAUUCCCCACCUGUGGGCACGUUCCUCAGUUAUGAGUCACACAAAUGCACCGAAAAAACCCACAUCUGACCCCGGGAGCCUACAGUUUAUGACAAGGCGGGUGGUAAGUACCGUCAUUCUCCAGAUCUUCCCCUCGCUCACCUGCGGACAGGUUUACCGGCAAGCGAAUUACUAGGGUGGUGUGGGCCGCAACAGGCCAGGGCAGCCCGGCCCCCAGGUGACACGGCCCGCGCCCCCCGCGGCGGAGAGUCACUGUCAGGGCCGAGAGCCUGGGGCCUGUCCGCAUGGCUCCUUCCUCCAAGCCCCAAGCUUCCCUCACUCAAGCCCGUGCCUCAGCGAGGACGGCGCGCCGUCUGGAAGGGAAGCGCCCCUGCGCUGGUGCCUUCGGAGGCCUCCUCUCUGCAAAUGUCCUGAGGUCAGGGUUUCUGGGACCGGGCCUCCCCACGCCGUGUGCUCUGCGGCCGGAUGAGAGCUGGGGCCCAGAUGCUGCCACAUUCACUGCUUAUCUCGGGCUCCUUUUGGGAGGAAUGCGGACGCGGAGUGGGGGGAAGCACGAGUGAGGCUUUCCUGUUUCUCCAGCCCUGCCCCCCUCAUGCCCCCAUUCUCUAAGAGCCUGUGGCCAAGUGCCAGGACCCUCACCCCUGCAAGCGGCCGCCCCCCUGCCGCUUCCUCGGGGUGGUGGGGGUGCCUCUGUGCAGGGAUCCUCCUGUGAGGCUGGGAGGCCUGAGUGUCAGGUGACACUGAACCACAUGGGACCCCUCAGCAGCUUGCCGGUGGGAGCCCAUGACCUCCCUCCUUCUGGAAAGUUCCAGAUGAGAUUUGGGUCUAUCAGCUUCCGCAAACCUGGCAGUCACCAGAGGGCCAGGGUUCAGCAAUCAACAUCCUCAGGGACGUCCUGCUUUUGGGUCAAUGCCUCAUCCUCACUCGGAGAACAAGGGCAGGAAAUGCACUGUGGCCACCUGCUUCCUGUGUUGGGAGAAGGGAAGUCCCGAGACCACCUUAGGACUCAACCCUGGGGGUGGGGUGAGUGGACAAUGGCGGGCCACCAAGGGGACAGGGGGGCAGGAGGGGGAGGAGCCCAGGGUCAUGGGGAGGAUGGAGGCUGCAGGGGAGGGGCGCCCACGGAGGAUCGCACGUGCCCUCCCCCAGGCCCCUCCUCCCAGGCGGCAGGUCCUGUGGGCCCAGAAAAGAAGGGGGCACAGCAUUCUUCCUGAGCUUGCUCCCAGCGUCCAUCGUCGGGACUGGAUGGGGCACCCAGAGCCCUGAGGCGCCCUGGGCUGGUUUCAAGGUGGGGGUGGUGACGCUGCUUGGGUAGGGGUCCCUCGGCCCAGUGGCCUUGUUUGUCGUCUCCUUGUUAGGGACCACUUGUCGGGCAACAGAAGGGAGCAGGGUGAGUGGGUGGACUCAGUGCUGGGGGGAUGGAAGGAUGCUUCCCCAGGGAAGAGUGCGGGGCGGCACCCCAGGAGCAGCUCGGGGUGAGAGCAGGGGCCAUCCAGUCAGCCCUGGCAUUGGCGCUGGUGCCUCGCACGGGUCCUUGGAGAGGGGUUCUGCUUUUCUCCAGUUUUGUGGGCAAGAGGGCUGAGCACAGAGAAGCUACAUGGGUGGCCAAGGUCAGCUCCGGCUCGUGCGCUGCUCUGUCGUCUUAGCAUUUCCCAUGUCGCACGGACAAAGGCCAGGAAGCCUCGGUAGCACCCACGCUGCAGGGCAGAGCCUUUACCCAGGGCCACCAAGCUCCAGAAGUUUCCAGCAUUAGGCUCUUGAGGAGCACCCUCUGGGGGUCCCAGUACUCGCACGUGCCCUGGGGUAAGGGGAAGGCUCUGGAAGGUCACUCAAGUCUGACCAAGGCCCAGAGGCCCACCUGCAGCCUCUCCCUGUCCUGUGCCGCUGGACUCUGGGACAGAUGUGUCCUUUGCCCAUGGGUGCCCUGGGCCCCCUGCUCAGGGUAGAAGCGGGGACCCCGCAGGAGUGCGAACCAUCACCCACUAGCGUCCCCAGGAGGCCUGUCUAGACCAGGGCUCUGGCACCUGCAGGGCCGACUUCUUCCGGUGGAACCGCCGGGUCACAGGGCACGCUGGCUCCAGCCCCGGGCCCCAGACACAGCCAGUCCGUGCGCCCACUUCCAGAUUCCCACGGAGCUCAACAUCUUCGGGGCUGCUCGCGGGAAGUUGUGCGGGACUCCACCGCCCACACGUGCCCCAGGCUCCCAAGGGCUUGGGGGGGGGGGGUGUCCAAGAUCCCAGUUCCAGUGCAGAAGUGGGGCCUGUGAGUUGUUAACCUUAAAAAUAAAACUUCCAUGGGGUGCCUGGGUGGCUCGGUCAGUUAAGCGUCCCACAUCAUCUCACGUCACGAUCUCACGGUCUGUGGGUUCGAGCCCCAUGCGGGCUCUGUGCUGACAGCUCAGAGCCUGGACCCUGCUUUGGAUUCGGUGUCGCCCUCUCUCUCUGCCCUUCCUCCACUCACGCUCUUUCUCUCAAAAAUAAACAUUAGAAAAAAAUAAAAUAAAACUUCCAGUUGUUUUACCAGCAAUA